UUACAAUCUGACGCUGUUGGUGCCUGCGCUGCCGUUCUGGCGGCGCGGUUCAACGGGAAGCAGGAAGGCCCCGGAACUUCGUUUCCAAAGCCCAACCUGCGCUGCCCCCGCAACGGUAAGCGGCAUGCGGCGCGGCCAGAACCUGUUCAGGGUUUUGAUCGCGCCGCAGCUUCGUUCCCACCCUCGCCACGGCCUUGGCGUGCCUGCUUUGCGUGCAGGCGGCGCGCCUGCCAGCCGGAAGGCCGGGCGCGAAGGCAAGCCGCCAGCCCGGAUACCGGCCAACAACAGGUGGCCCGC
Molecule: non-coding RNA, 297 nt
Filed under: Ottowia sp.
Lineage: Bacteria; Pseudomonadati; Pseudomonadota; Betaproteobacteria; Burkholderiales; Comamonadaceae
Source: RNAcentral